RNAcentral lists this ribosomal RNA (468 nucleotides) under uncultured bacterium. Its description in RNAcentral is "partial 16S ribosomal RNA". It matches the Rfam family "Bacterial small subunit ribosomal RNA", at positions 28 to 507 of the family's 1533-position model. The record is from RNAcentral.
GACGAACGCUGGCGGCGUGCUUAACACAUGCAAGUCGAACGGAAAGGCACUGCUUUUGUGGGGUGCUCGAGUGGCGAACGGGUGAGUAACACGUGAGUAACCUGACCUUGACUUUGGGAUAACUUCAGGAAACUGGGGCUAAUACCGGAUAGGAGCUCCUGCUGCAUGGUGGGGGUUGGAAAGUUUCGGCGGUUGGGGAUGGACUCGCGGCUUAUCAGCUUGUUGGUGGGGUAGUGGCUUACCAAGGCUUUGACGGGUAGCCGGCCUGAGAGGGUGACCGGCCACAUUGGGACUGAGAUACGGCCCAGACUCCUACGGGAGGCAGCAGUGGGGAAUAUUGCACAAUGGGCGGAAGCCUGAUGCAGCAACGCCGCGUGCGGGAUGACGGCCUUCGGGGUGUAAACCGCUUUCGCCUGUGACGAAGCGUGAGUGACGGUAAUGGGUAAAGAAGCACCGGCUAACUACGUG